Phrynosoma platyrhinos (Desert horned lizard) is the source of this 73-nucleotide non-coding RNA. NCBI's taxonomy places the organism in Eukaryota, Metazoa, Chordata, Lepidosauria, Squamata, Phrynosomatidae. The record is from the annotation of a GenBank genome assembly.
GUCAGCAUGGCUUAGGGGCUUGAGUGCCAGACUACAACUCUGGAAGCCAGGGUUUGAUUCUCGCUUGGCCACA